CUCAGGAUGAACGCUGGCGGCGUGCUUAACACAUGCAAGUCGAACGGAGUGUACUUUUAUGAGGAUUCGUCUGAUUUAGCUGUACACUUAGUGGCGGACGGGUGAGUAACGCGUGGGUAACCUGCCUCAUACAGGGGGGAUAGCAGCUGGAAACGGCUGAUAAAACCGCAUAAGCGCACACUAUCGCAUGAUAGAGUGUGAAAACUCCGGUGGUAUGAGAUGGACCCGCGUCUGAUUUAGCUUGUUGGUGAGGUAACGGCCCACCAAGGCGACGAUCAGUAGCCGGCCUGAGAGGGUGAACGGCCACAUUGGGACUGAGACACGGCCCAAACUCCUACGGGAGGCAGCAGUGGGGAAUAUUGCACAAUGGGGGAAACCCUGAAUGCAGCGACGCCGCGUGAAGGACGACGUAUUUCGGUAUGUAAACUUCUAUCAGCAGGGAAGAACAAGUGACGGUACCUGACUAAGAAGCCCCGGCUAACUACGUGCCAGCAGCGGC
This 499-nucleotide ribosomal RNA is filed under the name uncultured bacterium. RNAcentral's name for it is "bacterial SSU rRNA". It matches the Rfam family "Bacterial small subunit ribosomal RNA", at positions 23 to 518 of the family's 1533-position model. The record is from RNAcentral.